This 58-nucleotide transfer RNA is filed under the name Dermatophagoides pteronyssinus (European house dust mite). RNAcentral describes it as "tRNA-Ser". The record is from RNAcentral. Lineage: Eukaryota; Metazoa; Arthropoda; Arachnida; Sarcoptiformes; Pyroglyphidae.
AGGUUAAUUGUUGUCUUUAAAAAUAUUUAACUUUGAAAGUUAAUUGUGCUUUUAGCUA